AGUGUAGUAUCUGUUCUUAUCAGUUUAAUAUCUGAUAUGUUCUCUAUUUAAUGGC
This 55-nucleotide small nuclear RNA is filed under the name Podarcis muralis (Common wall lizard). RNAcentral describes it as "U2 spliceosomal RNA (ENSPMRG00000003429.1)". The record is from Rfam by way of RNAcentral. Lineage: Eukaryota; Metazoa; Chordata; Lepidosauria; Squamata; Lacertidae.